GAUGGAAGAACGUAGCGAAAUGCGAUAAGUAAUGUGAAUUGCAGAAUUCAGUGAAUCAUCGAAUCUUUGAACGCACAUUGCGCCCCUUGGUAUUCCGAGGGGCAUGCCUGUUCGAGCGUCAUUAUAACCCCUCAAGCUCAGCUUGGUGUUGGGGCCUGCUGCACUGGCAGCCCUUAAAAUCAGUGGCGGCGCCAUCUGGCUCUAAGCGUAGUAAUUCUUCUCGCUAUGGAGUCCUGGUGGAUGCUUGCCAUCAACCCCCAAUUUUUCUAUGGUUGACCUCGGAUCAGGUAGGGAUACCCGCUGAACUUAAGCAUAUCAAUAAGCGGAGGA
RNAcentral lists this unclassified non-coding RNA (330 nucleotides) under soil metagenome. Its description in RNAcentral is "partial contains 5.8S ribosomal RNA, internal transcribed spacer 2, and large subunit ribosomal RNA". The stretch from base 5 to 121 matches the Rfam family "5.8S ribosomal RNA", at positions 38 to 154 of the family's 154-position model. The record is from RNAcentral.